RNAcentral lists this ribosomal RNA (245 nucleotides) under uncultured bacterium. Its description in RNAcentral is "partial 16S ribosomal RNA". It matches the Rfam family "Bacterial small subunit ribosomal RNA", at positions 524 to 768 of the family's 1533-position model. The record is from RNAcentral.
UACGAAGGGUGCAAGCGUUAAUCGGAAUUACUGGGCGUAAAGCGUGCGUAGGCGGUUUGUUAAGUCUGUUGUGAAAUCCCCGGGCUCAACCUGGGAAUGGCAAUGGAUACUGGCAAGCUAGAGUGUGAUAGAGGAUGGUGGAAUUCCCGGUGUAGCGGUGAAAUGCGUAGAGAUCGGGAGGAACAUCAGUGGCGAAGGCGGCCAUCUGGAUCAACACUGACGCUGAGGCACGAAAGCGUGGGGAG